GCAUUGAUGGUGUAGAGGCAGCAUCUCAGCCUUCCAAGCUGAGGACCCGGGUUCGAUUCCCGGUCAAUGCA
Molecule: transfer RNA, 71 nt
Filed under: compost metagenome
Description: tRNA-Gly
Rfam family: tRNA
About the family: Transfer RNA (tRNA) molecules are approximately 80 nucleotides in length. Their secondary structure includes four short double-helical elements and three loops (D, anti-codon, and T loops).
Source: RNAcentral